This 1037-nucleotide ribosomal RNA is filed under the name Seison sp. RNAcentral's name for it is "bacterial SSU rRNA". It matches the Rfam family "Eukaryotic small subunit ribosomal RNA", at positions 52 to 1101 of the family's 1831-position model. The record is from RNAcentral. Lineage: Eukaryota; Metazoa; Rotifera; Pararotatoria; Seisonacea; Seisonidae.
UGCAUGUCUAAGUACAAACUGAAUUAAAAAGUGAAACCGCGAACAGCUCAUUAAAACGGUUGUUGUUAACUGUAUUGUAAAAAGUUAAAUGGAUAACUUUGGUAACCCAGAGCUAAUACAUGCAAAGAAUCCUCCAAGGUUUAGGCUGAGGAGGUGCUCUUAUUAGUUCGCAGUAAGAAAUUACUCUGAUGACUCUGAAUAAUGUUGCUAAUCGAAUGAAAAACUCGAUAAAUACAAUAAACUUCUGCCCUAUCAACUCAGAUGGUAGUAUAUAGGACUACCAUGGUUAUAACGGGUAACGGGGAAUCAGGGUUCGAUUCCGGAGAGGGAGCAUGAGAAACGGCUACCACUUCCAAGGAAGGCAGCAGGCGCGCAAAUUACCCACUCCUAGAACGGGGAGGUAGUGACAAAAUAUAACGAUACCACCGAAAUUAUUUUCGUGGUAAUUGGAAUGAGUGGAUUUUAAACCUAUUUCAUGAGUAGCAAUUGGAGGGCAAGUCUGGUGCCAGCAGCCGCGGUAAUUCCAGCUCCAAUAGCGUAUAUUAGAGUUGUUGCAGUUAAAAAGCUCGUAGUUGAAUAUCGGGUCUAGACACUGUGUUCAUGUUUAACAACGUUGAUAUAGGGUCGGCUCUAUUUAUCGGUUCGAUUUGCAAUGCCUUUAACAGGUGCGUUGUGGAUUUCCGAUACUUUUACUUUGAAGAAAUUAGAGUGCUCAAAGCAAACAUUUAUUUGAAUAUUCACGCAUAGUAUAAUGGAAAAAGACUUAAAUAAGUUUUGGUUUUUACUGAAAUCUUAUUAAGUAAUGAUUAAAAGGGACAGCCGGGGGCAUCCGUAUCAUGACGAUAGAGGUGAAAUUCGUUGACCGUCAUGGGACGAACUACUGCGAAGGCAUUUGCCAAGAAUGUUUCCAUUAAUCAAGAACGAAAGUUGGAGGAUCGAAGACGAUUAGACACCGUCGUAGUUCCAACCGUAAACUAUGCCAACUAGCGACCGGUCAUUACUCUUUUGCAGUGACCGGCAGCUUCCAGGAAAACCAA